UACGGGGGGGGCAAGCGUUGUUCGGAAUUACUGGGCGUAAAGGGUUCGUAGGUGGCUCGUUAAGUCAGACGUGAAAUCCCUCGGCUCAACCGAGGAACUGCGUCUGAGACUGAUGAGCUCGAGUGCAGGAGAGGAACGCGGAAUUCCAGGUGUAGCGGUGAAAUGCGUAGAGAUUGGGAAGAACACCGGUGGCGAAAGCGCUCUACUGGACUGCAACUGACACUCAGGGACGAAAGCUAGGGGAGCGAAUGGG
This 253-nucleotide ribosomal RNA is filed under the name uncultured bacterium. RNAcentral describes it as "partial 16S ribosomal RNA". It matches the Rfam family "Bacterial small subunit ribosomal RNA", at positions 524 to 776 of the family's 1533-position model. The record is from RNAcentral.